RNAcentral lists this long non-coding RNA (1431 nucleotides) under Oncorhynchus mykiss (rainbow trout). RNAcentral describes it as "lncRNA (ENSOMYG00000062179.1)". The record is from RNAcentral. Lineage: Eukaryota; Metazoa; Chordata; Actinopteri; Salmoniformes; Salmonidae.
AUGUCCCCCGACCGGGGAGGAGGGGGUAACGGGUCUUUCGCUGGGGGCCGGUUCUCUGAGAGGAGUAACCGCUCCUCGUGGACCGAGAGGUCACAGAGCCGACGGGGGGAGAGGAGCAGGAGGAGUAGGAGCAGGGAGAGCAGAAUAGCCCAAAGGAGAGAGAGUCUUCAGAGUGACAGGUCUUGGACCAGUCGUACCAGCACAAGACUCAGGUCGAGGAGUAGGGACAGAGAAAGGAGAGACAGGAGCAGAGAUAGGAGGGACAGAGGCAGGAGCAGGGACAGAGGCAGGAGCAGGGACAGAGGCAGGAGCAGGGACAGAGGCAGGAGCAGGGACAGAGGCAGGAGCAGGGACAGAGACCGGAGCAGGGACAGAGACCGGCGGGAUGGGAGCAGAGACCGAGAUGGGAGCAAGAGAGAGGGGUGGAGGGGUUCACCCACAGAGGCUAGUAGGGGGAGAUCCAGAUCAGCCAGCCCUGGAGAGUUCUCUAAGAGGAAGAGACAGGGGAGCAGGAGCCCUGGAGAGUCCUCUAAGAGGAAGAGACAGGGGAGCAGGAGCCCUGGAGAGUCCUCUAAGAGGAAGAGACAGGGGAGCAGGAGCCCUGGAGAGUCCUCUAAGAGGAAGAGACAGGGGAGCAGGAGCCCUGGAGAGUCCUCUAAGAGGAAGAGACGGGGGAGCAGGAGCCCUGGGAAAACAUCCCAAAAAGACAAGCAGCCAGCCAACGACAGCAGCGACACAGCUCCAUCACGCCACAAACACUCCAAAAAAAGCAAAAAGAAGAAGAGCAAGAGGAGGAAACCCAAGAGGGACAAAAAGAGCCAGUCGGCUGGGGGUCAGAGUUCAUCUGCAGAGUCGGGGAAGGAGUCUUGGGACGAGGAGAAACCCUCUCCAAACCUUGUAGACAGCAGUACACGGACUCCUCAUGAGGUAGACAACACUACCCAGGAGACUGUGGAUGUAGACAGCAGUACACGGACUCCUCAUGAGGUAGACAACACUACCCAGGGGACUGUGGAUGUAGACAACACUACCCAGGGGACUGUGGAUGUAGACAACACUACCCAGGGGACUGUGGAUGUAGACAACACUUCCCAGGAGACUGCUAGGGUAAAUGCCAUACUUAGUCUCAUGUUGUCUGAGUCUCUUGAUAAUGCCAAUGCAGUCACUUCAGACAUACAGACCCAGGUCAAGGAGGAGCCUGAGGAUCCCUGUCCACCUAUUGUCCCCUCUCCUAGCCCUGGGGAUGUGGACAUCGCUCAGACUCCUGGGGCCACUGACAACAGUACUCCUGAGGCAAACGCACUCUCCCCAGACCUCCAUAGUAUCUUCCUCAAGCAGGAGUAUCCCUCUCUACCCAGUGUGCCUGAAGAGGAAUGUGAACAGGAUGGACCUGAGACGCUGCCUGAUUCCCCCGACGAUGAUGAACCAUAG